This is a long non-coding RNA of Lytechinus pictus (painted urchin), 3406 nucleotides long. RefSeq lists it as uncharacterized. The record is from RefSeq and is a predicted model, not a curated record. Lineage: Eukaryota; Metazoa; Echinodermata; Echinoidea; Temnopleuroida; Toxopneustidae. The transcript has 2 exons.
UAAGAUGGAGACAUGGUCUGGUAGAAAUCAUCCGAGCUGUUCACUAUGAAGUUUAUUUAGGGAGACAGUUGAUGGCAGUCAAGCUAGGUCAAGAAGGAGAAGAACUUUAUGACUGUCUCCUAUUUGAAUGUACUCACCACCCCCAAGCAACACAGAUUUGCAAGUGCCUUGAACUGCUAUUCAAUGCUGUGUGCCAGUUUACACCUCUGUGACACAUCUUGACUCUUUCCUGAGGGUUACUAAUUGUAAUUUCAAGCUCGGUGUUUGUGAUAACACCUGCUUCACCAAUCCAUGUCAUCUUGCCCUACACUCAUUUGUAGUGUAAUAGCUGAUGUUUAAUAUAUCACCAUCAUCGGAGCCUUCUGUGACACCAAUCCAGUUACACUAUACUCCGAUGUUAGUGUCAGAUUCAUUUUGUACCUUGACAAGACACCUCUAUCUACUAUGGUGUUCCUGGACAUUUCAAGAUUGGUGUUACAUUAGUAAAUUUCACUUCUUCCUUUAAUAACACUCUGCUCUGGUGUUUGAGCCUGCUGAUGUAUUAUUGAGGAUCCUGACACGAACCAACUCAUCUGACAAUGCCAACACCAAGACUAACACCAUAGAAAACAGUAUUACUUGCGAUACAUGUAGCUUUAUUUUAUAUUCCUUAUUCUAUCACCUCGUGUCUUAGCUCAUCUUUAGUGCUUCCAACCAAUUGCGCUUCCAGUUUCUGCAUGUGCAGUAGAAAACACUUGAUGAUUCGAUCUUCCAUGUAUGAGAAAAGUUUGAUAAUGUCAUAAAUAAUUCAUUUUAAGCAUCACCCAAUUAUAUGUGAUGCGUCUAUCAAACAGCCUGAAUCUGGCUGCAUGUAUAUGGUUUGUUCUAUGUGUAUUCAUCAUGCCUUUUACUUAAAAAUCUCAGCCAAACCUUGCUCAAUAUAGGGGAGUGUUUCGUGAUGUCAUUUUCACUGACAGAAUGUUUAUAAGCUACUGUAACACUGUUGAAAAUGGGUGAUCACAAGAAACCAAGGGUAGUAGUAAGUAGUUACAAUCAUAUAAUGCUUUUAAUUUGUGUUUCUAAAUUCUGUACUUAUUCAAAGUAAACUGAAAUCUCAAAUAAUGGUUAUUGUUAGGCAGUGUGACUAUAAUGCUUGACUUGCUGAAGUUAAAUCUCAUGUAGGAAGACCUCAGAAAUUCUACCUGAAAAGAUGUAAUAUCACAUUUUACGUAUUCUCGUCCAAAAAAAGUGUUUGACUUUGACGAUUAAUCAACCCAAUGGCCCAUAUUCUGGAGUCGGGUUUAAAUUAAACUCAGGUUUAAAAUUGUGGUCUAAGUAUGGGUAGCCAAUUGUUACAUAAAUCACUAACAGUAGAGAUAGCAUACUUCAGCUCAUUUGGCUCUCAAAUCAUUCAUAAUUGUCUAGCAAGUAUAAAUAGAUGAUUGUCUUCACCAUCGAUGAAUCAGGAAAGAGCACAGUAAAUAUGAGAAACAUACAACUUAAUACAAAUUUUGAUACUUUUUGGCUUCCCAUACUUAAACCACAACUUUAAACCUGAGUUUAAGUUAAACCUGCCAUCAGAAUACGGGCCAAUAAGGUUAUUUUCUGCAGACUCUGCUGAAUAUUGGAAAGUUGGACAAUUUGUCUUCUGCUUAAGCAAAUUUUUGCCCAUUUAAAUGAAGCAACAUUGACAGUAUAAUGGGUACCUCUAUCCUGUCACACAAUGCAAAAUAUGAAAGAGCAAUUUUGAUUUGUCCCUGCUCGGUGUUGUCAUCAAUACUGGCAUACAACACUGAUUUUCAUUGGCUAAGGCCAUUAUAGUGAUAAGAACAGACCUUUGUGUUACAAGAUCCUUGUUUAUAUUUGUAAGAAUAAUAUGUACAUGUACCCUUGAGUUUGGUGAUCACGGGUAAUUUGGAGAUCAGCACAACACUAGACCUAAAAUGUAGUUGGUUCUUGGAUGAAUCUCACAAGGUGUAAAUUAAACCUUUCUGAACCUUCAGAAGUUUACACCGGCAGGGCAGUAGACUGUGUAACGCCAGGCUGCUCAGCUGUCAUAUUUUUCAUGUCAGAAUCCACUGACUUCCAAGAUCCGAUUAUUCUUGGAAAGAAUGUUUGUUGAUUUAUCAUCAAUGUACUUUGAUGUGAUGGGAACGUUGUGGUGUAGUGGUUAUGAUUCAUCUUUCAAUCUGAGGGAUUUAGAUUCGAUUCCCAGCCUUUGCUUUUUUUCCUUCAGCAAGAAAUUUACCCACAUCAUGCUGCAGUCAACCCAGGUGAGGUGAAUGGGUACCCGGUAGGAUUAAUACCUUGAAAGCAUUGAGCACUCGAAGGUAGCUCUAGACUAGCUAAAUCCGGGGUAAUAAUGAUAAUAGAAAUACUUCUUUGAACAGAUUAUUUUUUGAUAGAUUUGCCAACAAAAUGCCUAUUAUUUUUAUUUGGCUCAAGUGUUUUUUAGGGCAUGUAAGGUGUUGAUGCUAGGGAAGGGAGUGUUCUGUGCUUCUAACACCAAUACUAACACUGAACUUGAAAUCUCCCAUUUACUUAGAUGUCCCUUCACCUUGUAUUUGUGUUGAGACUUGAAAAAGUGUAAAUAUGAUCGAGAAGUACUCUAGUAAACUUGUAAAUAGUUGUUCUUUAUUGAUUGAAAUGUACAUUGUAAUCAUGAAUGCUACUUAAACAUAUUCAAUUCACAUAAUAUUCUUCUUUGUGAAAAUAUAUUGGUAAAUUAUUACGUGUUGCUAGAUAUAUCUUUAUUUUUUAUGAAUAUAGAACAAUUUACUAUGGUAGAAUUGAAUGUGUGCUUGAUAGUUAUUUGACAGAAAGUCUGAAAUAUUCAAGAUAAUUUAAAGGGGAAGUUCAUCAUGGAAUUUUUUUUGGGUAAAAACAGCAGAAAAUAUAAUGAAAAAUAUUGGUUAAGGUUUGAAGAAAAUCCAUCAAUGAUAUCAAAAGUUAUUAGAAUGAGAAUUUUUUGUAUUUGUGACCUCCCAUGUCAUUUCCUCAACAAAUUUAAAAUGGUUUUAUUUGUUCCUUCAAUAUGUCUGCAGCCAAAUUUUUCACACCCACUCCAGAAAGAACAGAAUUUUAUAGUCUUCAACUGAAAUUUAUGCAUUUUGUAAAAUACACAACAUACAUGUAUGGGGCAGCUGCUCGUAUGUGACGUCACAAAUCCAAAUCUUAAAAUUCUAUUAACUUUAUCUUUGCUGGAUUUUCCUCAAACCUUCACCAAUAUCUUUGAUCAUUUUUUGGGGGGGUAUUUUUACAAUGUAUUUUUCUUCCAGGUGAGCUUCCCGUACAUUGUUUUAGGAGCUAGAAUGGUGCUUUUAUGCAGAUGUAGUAGUUUGUAUCCAUUUUAUUUUUGUACCCUUUUUGCCGAAGGCUCCCCUAUCUACUCAGUGUGGCAUAUCUUAAUGAAACAGUACCCAUGAUU